Molecule: ribosomal RNA, 1528 nt
Filed under: Salmonella enterica
Lineage: Bacteria; Pseudomonadati; Pseudomonadota; Gammaproteobacteria; Enterobacterales; Enterobacteriaceae
Also listed under: 2 other names
Description: partial 23S ribosomal RNA
Rfam family: Bacterial large subunit ribosomal RNA
Source: RNAcentral
GAAUGCUGACAUAAGUAACGAUAAAGCGGGUGAAAAGCCCGCUCGCCGGAAGACCAAGGGUUCCUGUCCAACGUUAAUCGGGGCAGGGUGAGUCGACCCCUAAGGCGAGGCCGAAAGGCGUAGUCGAUGGGAAACGGGUUAAUAUUCCCGUACUUGGUGUUACUGCGAAGGGGGGACGGAGAAGGCUAUGUUGGCCGGGCGACGGUUGUCCCGGUUUAAGCGUGUAGGUGUGUGUUCCAGGUAAAUCCGGUUCACUUUAACACUGAGGCGUGAUGACGAGGCACUACGGUGCUGAAGCAACAAAUGCCCUGCUUCCAGGAAAAGCCUCUAAGCAUCAGGUAACAUCAAAUCGUACCCCAAACCGACACAGGUGGUCAGGUAGAGAAUACCAAGGCGCUUGAGAGAACUCGGGUGAAGGAACUAGGCAAAAUGGUGCCGUAACUUCGGGAGAAGGCACGCUGACACGUAGGUGAAGUGAUUUACUCACGGAGCUGAAGUCAGUCGAAGAUACCAGCUGGCUGCAACUGUUUAUUAAAAACACAGCACUGUGCAAACACGAAAGUGGACGUAUACGGUGUGACGCCUGCCCGGUGCCGGAAGGUUAAUUGAUGGGGUCAGCGCAAGCGAAGCUCCUGAUCGAAGCCCCGGUAAACGGCGGCCGUAACUAUAACGGUCCUAAGGUAGCGAAAUUCCUUGUCGGGUAAGUUCCGACCUGCACGAAUGGCGUAAUGAUGGCCAGGCUGUCUCCACCCGAGACUCAGUGAAAUUGAACUCGCUGUGAAGAUGCAGUGUACCCGCGGCAAGACGGAAAGACCCCGUGAACCUUUACUAUAGCUUGACACUGAACAUUGAGCCUUGAUGUGUAGGAUAGGUGGGAGGCUUUGAAGUGUGGACGCCAGUCUGCAUGGAGCCGACCUUGAAAUACCACCCUUUAAUGUUUGAUGUUCUAACGUGGACCCGUGAUCCGGGUUGCGGACAGUGUCUGGUGGGUAGUUUGACUGGGGCGGUCUCCUCCUAAAGAGUAACGGAGGAGCACGAAGGUUGGCUAAUCCUGGUCGGACAUCAGGAGGUUAGUGCAAUGGCAUAAGCCAGCUUGACUGCGAGCGUGACGGCGCGAGCAGGUGCGAAAGCAGGUCAUAGUGAUCCGGUGGUUCUGAAUGGAAGGGCCAUCGCUCAACGGAUAAAAGGUACUCCGGGGAUAACAGGCUGAUACCGCCCAAGAGUUCAUAUCGACGGCGGUGUUUGGCACCUCGAUGUCGGCUCAUCACAUCCUGGGGCUGAAGUAGGUCCCAAGGGUAUGGCUGUUCGCCAUUUAAAGUGGUACGCGAGCUGGGUUUAGAACGUCGUGAGACAGUUCGGUCCCUAUCUGCCGUGGGCGCUGGAGAACUGAGGGGGGCUGCUCCUAGUACGAGAGGACCGGAGUGGACGCAUCACUGGUGUUCGGGUUGUCAUGCCAAUGGCACUGCCCGGUAGCUAAAUGCGGAAGAGAUAAGUGCUGAAAGCAUCUAAGCACGAAACUUGCCCCGAG